RNAcentral lists this precursor RNA (676 nucleotides) under uncultured Cercozoa. Its description in RNAcentral is "partial 18S ribosomal RNA". It matches the Rfam family "Eukaryotic small subunit ribosomal RNA", at positions 593 to 1266 of the family's 1831-position model. The record is from RNAcentral. Lineage: Eukaryota; Cercozoa.
AAUAGCGUAUAUUAAGUUGCUGCAGUUAAAAAGCUCGUAGUUGGAUUUCUGACUUGAAACAUUUUGCCGGCCACGGUUUCGUGUGUUAGUGCUUGAUGUUCUGGUCAUCCUUCCAAUCGCUAUCGGCUCGUCUUCAUUGCCGGGUCGCGUAGUAUUGGAUCUUUUACUUUGAAAAAAUUAGAGUGUUUCAAGCAGGCUUUAUGCUAUGAAUACAUUAGCAUGGAAUAAUAAUUUAGGACUUCGGUUCUAUUUUGUUGGUUUCUAGGACUGAAGUAAUGAUUGAUAGGGACAGUUGGGGGUGCUAGUAUUCAGCGGCCAGAGGUGAAAUUCUCGGAUUCGCUGAAGACUAACUUAUGCGAAAGCAUUCACCAAGGAUGUCUUCUUUAAUCAAGAACGAAAGUUGGGGGAUCGAAGACGAUCAGAUACCGUCGUAGUCUCAACCAUAAACUAUGCCGACUAGGGAUGAGUGAACGUUGCAUUUUCGACUUCAUUCGCACCUUAUGAGAAAUCAAAGUCUUUGGGUUCCGGGGGGAGUAUGGUCGCAAGGCUGAAACUUAAAGGAAUUGACGGAAGGGCACCACCAGGAGUGGAGCCUGCGGCUUAAUUUGACUCAACACGGGAAAACUUACCAGGUCCAGACGCAGUAAGGAUUGACAGAUUGAAGAUCUUUCUUGAU